GACUAGUCCAAUGGUAGUGGGUUAUCAGGACUUAUUAACAUUAGUGUCACUAAAGUUGGUAUACAACCCUACAGUGCUAAAUUUGACUGGCUUUAA
This 96-nucleotide Y RNA is filed under the name Callithrix jacchus (white-tufted-ear marmoset). Its description in RNAcentral is "Y RNA (ENSCJAG00000078336.1)". It matches the Rfam family "Y RNA". Rfam says of the family: Y RNAs are components of the Ro ribonucleoprotein particle (Ro RNP), in association with Ro60 and La proteins. The Y RNAs and Ro60 and La proteins are well conserved, but the function of the Ro RNP is not known. In humans the RNA component can be one of four small RNAs -- hY1, hY3, hY4 and hY5. The record is from Rfam by way of RNAcentral. Lineage: Eukaryota; Metazoa; Chordata; Mammalia; Primates; Cebidae.